Molecule: long non-coding RNA, 446 nt
Organism: Populus euphratica (Euphrates poplar)
Lineage: Eukaryota; Viridiplantae; Streptophyta; Magnoliopsida; Malpighiales; Salicaceae
Exons: 2
Source: RefSeq, a predicted model, not a curated record
GAACAAACCGGUUCAACACCCAGCUCGUUAUCUCUGCCUCUCAUCUCUCUCAAGUCCCAACUCCAAAUCAAACCCAAAAAUAACAGCCCCCAAGCUUUCUCUCUGCCUCUCAUCUCCUCCAUCACGCUCUGUUCUCUCUCUCGUCUCUCAUCUGCAAUAGAUUGCAUCAGCUAUAAUUGCUCGAGCAAUCAGGACCUUCUCAGCUAGAGGCAUGGACCCACAAAGAAUGCACUUCCUGAGGAUGAAUGGUUUGUUGAAACUGCAAAGACAGCCAUCAAUAAACUUCUGUUAGGAACAUCUAGGUCAGACAUCUGAGAUUAACGAGGACCAUAUUAUCCUACAUGACGAGAUGGCCUCCGACUCCAACGACACUGUUUUUUCCCUUUCAUCAGUAGAAUCAUUUGAAUCUUUUGCUUCUACAAGAUGAGCAAGGCCCUCAUUGGUUA